RNAcentral lists this microRNA precursor (65 nucleotides) under Octopus bimaculoides (California two-spot octopus). Lineage: Eukaryota; Metazoa; Mollusca; Cephalopoda; Octopoda; Octopodidae. The record is from RNAcentral.
UGGUUGAAUAUGCUUCUGGUCCAUGUGGAUGAAAGUUAGUCAUGACUAGAUCAUACUCAUCCACC